This 288-nucleotide unclassified non-coding RNA is filed under the name Hevea brasiliensis (rubber tree). Lineage: Eukaryota; Viridiplantae; Streptophyta; Magnoliopsida; Malpighiales; Euphorbiaceae. The record is from RNAcentral.
AAAAAUGGUCCAGCUUCAUUAAAGCUCAAAUACUCAGCCGAAACAAUGUGGUGCUGGGAAAGAAAGAAGAGGCAAAACUAGAAAUUCAUCAAGAUGGCAUCUUUUGAAACACCAUCAGCCACCAGCACCGAUGUAAUAUCCUCAGCCAUUUGUUUGUGUCCACAGAGCACUGCCCCGGUCGUUGACGGAUUCAAUAACUUUUUUUCUCUAGAAAAAGCAGCCUGUACAUAUCCAUUUUCACCUUUCCAUAAAUCAUCUGGUUGUGACAAAACAGGUACAAUCCUAACA